This is a long non-coding RNA of Peromyscus eremicus (cactus mouse), 695 nucleotides long. RefSeq lists it as uncharacterized. The record is from RefSeq and is a predicted model, not a curated record. The transcript has 2 exons. NCBI's taxonomy places the organism in Eukaryota, Metazoa, Chordata, Mammalia, Rodentia, Cricetidae.
UUAACAGAGCCUUGGCCACACAUCUCGGGAGGUGCCUCCACUUAUGCCCAGUCCAACCUCUGUAGUAAACAGCAUGAGUGCUCAAUCUACAGCAGAGUGGCCUGGAACAAAGCAGGUACUUUUUUAAACACCAGAGCAAGACCCUCCAGGAACCUGCCUUGUGGUAGACCCGUAAAAGGAACCUCCAUUUCAUGCCAUGGUGCUUCGAGGACCGUACCAGCCUUGCAGUACCACAACAUGGACUGAGCUGGAGGCAUCUAAAGGCAUCAACACAGAGCACUAACAAGAACGAUGUAACAGCUCAGCUGUUCCAUCUUAACCGCCUCCUAACAAGCAGGUCCUGGGUGCCUCUGACAGGUGACAAAAUGCCCUGCCAACUCUAUGGAAAGACUGUGCUGCUGCUCUUAAAAGAGGUGGGAUGUGGAGAAAACACUCCAAAGUCCAUCGUUUGGGAACACAAAGGCUCUCACUUUGCUUUUUGCCUAGCAGCAAGCACCUCUCUUGCUGUGGAGAUCAGGGGUAAGGCCCUGAGCAGGGCUAAGAUGGGUUUAGGGUUCCCCAGGUCACAGGGUACAUAGCCUGGAUUUGCCAAAGUCUGGCAAGGGAAAAUGCCGAUGAGGCUCUUACUGGCAGUAGUUUUCUCCCCUUCCUAUCCAGAAAACCCUCUGCAGGGAUAAACUAGCUUCUGAAACCAA